AUGCUGCGGGCUAUAAAAGCGGCGCCAUUUUCCCGGUUCGGGUGUUCCUACACUGGUGAUGCUGUUAUGACCCAAACUCAUUGUCCCUGCUGCUAGCCUUGAAGGUCAAGCCCCUUUCUUUUGAAGGUUAAUCAGAGCCUCAUACCUAGUAAUGUAUACACUUAUUUGCAUUGGUACCUGCAGAAGCCAGACCAGUCUCUGUAACUCCUGAUCUACAAUGUUUCUAACCAAUUUUCUGGGGCACCAGACAGGUUCAGUAACAGUGUGUCAGGUACAAAUUUCACACCCAAGAUCAGUAGAGUGGAGCCUGAAGAUUUGGAAGUUUAUUAUAGCAUGUAACAUAUUUGUGUUCUU
This is a non-coding RNA of Mus musculus (house mouse), 354 nucleotides long. Lineage: Eukaryota; Metazoa; Chordata; Mammalia; Rodentia; Muridae. The record is from the annotation of a RefSeq genome assembly.